This 1264-nucleotide ribosomal RNA is filed under the name Hemisorubim platyrhynchos (porthole shovelnose catfish). Its description in RNAcentral is "partial 16S ribosomal RNA". It matches the Rfam family "Bacterial large subunit ribosomal RNA", at positions 179 to 2586 of the family's 2925-position model. Lineage: Eukaryota; Metazoa; Chordata; Actinopteri; Siluriformes; Pimelodidae. The record is from RNAcentral.
GCUAAACAGCUAGCUUAACCACUUAACUAAUCAAAUCAACAUUAAAACAUCUUAACANNNNNNNNNNNNNNNNNNNNCCAAAACAUUCUACCGCCCUAGUAUGGGAGACAGAAAAGGCAACAACUUCAAGCAAUAAUAAAAGUACCGCAAGGGAACGCUGAAAGAGAAAUGAAAUAAAUCAUCAAAGCACAACAAAGCAGAGAUUAGCCCUCGUACCUUUUGCAUCAUGAUUUAGCCAGUAUCACCGAGCAAAGAGUACUUUAGUUCAAAACCCCGAAACUAAGUGAGCUACCCCGGGACAGCCUAUAAAUUAGGGCCAACCCGUCUCUGUGGCAAAAGAGUGGGAAGAUCUCCGGGUAGAGGUGACAGACCUACCGAACUUAGUUAUAGCUGGUUGCCUAAGAAAUGAAUAGAAGUUCAGCCUGCAUUCCUCAACUCACACACUAAUACACGAGUAAGAGCAAUAUGCAAGAGUUAGUCAAAGGAGGUACAGCUCCUCUGAAACAGGACACAACCUUACCAGGAGGUUAAAGAUUAUACUAAACAAGAUAACCGCUUCAGUGGGCCUAAAAGCAGCCACCCAAAUAGAAAGCGUUAAAGCUCAAGCGGAUUAAAAAUCUAUUAUUCAAAUACUAAAUCUUAUACCCCUAAUUAUAUUAGGCCAUCCUAUGCAUUCAUAGAAGAGACACUGCUAAAAUGAGUAAUAAGAAGGAACCCCCUUCUCCCCAGCCUACGUGUACACUAGAUCGAACCCCCCACUAGUAAUUACCGAACCCAAUAAAAGAGGGUAUUGUGAAUCACUUGUCUUUUAAAUGAAGACCUGUAUGAAUGGUGAAACGAGGGCUUAACUGUCUCCCCUCUCAAGUCAAUGAAAUUGAUCUGCCCGUGCAGAAGCGGACAUAUAUAUACAAGACGAGAAGACCCUUUGGAGCUUUAGAUAUAAGAUCACCUAUGUCAAGAACUACAAAACAAGUUAAACUAAAUAGCAAUAUGAUCCCAAUCUUUUGUUGGGGCGACCGCGGGAAAAAACAAAGCUCCCACGAGGACCGGGACAACCAAUCCCAAAACCAAGAAAGACAUCUCUAAGUCACAGAACAUCUGACCACAAAGAUCCGGCUACAAGCCGACCAACGGACCAAGUUACCCUAGGGAUAACAGCGCAAUCCCCUUCCAGAGUCCAUAUCGACAAGGGGGUUUACGACCUCGAUGUUGGAUCAGGACAUCCUAAUGGUGCAGCCGCUAUUAAGGGUUCGUUUGUUCAACG